AAAUGCGGUGUGCGACAGGCAUUGCUGUCUGCGCGGAGUGGCAUUUUGCGGCAAUUUUGGCUUCCUAGGUAGUAGAGAUCUUUUGGUGACGCACCUUCGGCGCUGUUGUUUUUUUUUUGAAUAGAAUUGAAUUCUCAUAGGUGCUGCCAAUGCCAUAAUUUCCUCUGAUGCUACUAAAUCCUUUGGGCAAGUCGAUUUGAGAAAGAGAACGAUAUUUCAGGGAAAAAACUAGGAUGGAUACACAAGGGAAUCAGUAUAAUUGAGAGAAGCUCAGGAGUACACAGAUCUGGUCGCAUUCUUCAAUUCAGGCGCAUGAAAACCAAUGACAACAUUAUAUUGGGAUUAUCAAAAAUUAGGCAAAUCAGGCUCUCGACAUGAAAGAUUAUCUAGAAUAGUUCACCAAUCUUGUAGAAAAACUUAAUGCUAUUCUCCAUGACUCCAUCCAAACCUAGUCAUUGAAACAUGGCUUACUACUAAGCAUCAAGCAAGGCCAUAAUAUACAUGCAAUUUAAAAGCAUAGAAAAAAUGCUUGAAGCUACCCUUAAGAUCGGGUGCAUGUUGUCAUUUGUACAAGAAUUCAAACAAAAGAAUCCAAAUGAAACAUUGAUAAUGUGUAAACAUUGCCACAAAAUAUAUUUCAAGGAGUGUUGGUAGAAUUCUUCAAAUCCAAAAAAUUCACAAAAAAAAACUCAA
Molecule: long non-coding RNA, 693 nt
Filed under: Physcomitrium patens
Lineage: Eukaryota; Viridiplantae; Streptophyta; Bryopsida; Funariales; Funariaceae
Description: long non-coding RNA (PPAT_LNC000221)
Source: RNAcentral